UACGUAGGGUGCAAGCGUUAAUCGGAAUUACUGGGCGUAAAGCGUGCGCAGGCGGCUAUGCAAGACAGAUGUGAAAUCCCCGGGCUCAACCUGGGAACUGCAUUUGUGACUGCAUGGCUAGAGUACGGUAGAGGGGGAUGGAAUUCCGCGUGUAGCAGUGAAAUGCGUAGAUACGCGGAGGAACACCGAUGGCGAAGGCAAUCCCCUGGACCUGUACUGACGCUCAUGCACGAAAGCGUGGGGAGCAAACAGG
RNAcentral lists this ribosomal RNA (253 nucleotides) under uncultured bacterium. Its description in RNAcentral is "partial 16S ribosomal RNA". It matches the Rfam family "Bacterial small subunit ribosomal RNA", at positions 524 to 776 of the family's 1533-position model. The record is from RNAcentral.